CGCCUGAUGCCACAUAGCUGGUAGCUAUAUGCUCUGACCGGUGAUGCUAUGAUCGGGCGUAAAGAAAGCUUCUUCUGCGCUUCGCAUGUAUAUAGGAACCUGUGGAUUGGCUUUUUCAUCCGUUCACAGAGCCGUUUUGUGCGAUUAUAUUU
Molecule: small nucleolar RNA, 152 nt
Organism: Dendrobium catenatum
Lineage: Eukaryota; Viridiplantae; Streptophyta; Magnoliopsida; Asparagales; Orchidaceae
Product: small nucleolar RNA snoR2/U65
Exons: 1
Source: RefSeq, a predicted model, not a curated record